RNAcentral lists this ribosomal RNA (301 nucleotides) under uncultured bacterium. RNAcentral's name for it is "partial 16S ribosomal RNA". It matches the Rfam family "Bacterial small subunit ribosomal RNA", at positions 509 to 807 of the family's 1533-position model. The record is from RNAcentral.
CAGUCGCCGCGGUAAUACGGAGGGUGCAAGCGUUAAUCGGAAUUACUGGGCGUAAAGCGCACGCAGGCGGUCUGUUAAGUCAGAUGUGAAAUCCCCGGGCUCAACCCGGGAACUGCAUUUGAAACUGGCAGGCUUGAGUCUUGUAGAGGGGGGUAGAAUUCCAGGUGUAGCGGUGAAAUGCGUAGAGAUCUGGAGGAAUACCGGUGGCGAAGGCGGCCCCCUGGACAAAGACUGACGCUCAGGUGCGAAAGCGUGGGGAGCAAACAGGAUUAGAUACCCCAGUAGUCCCUGUCUCUUAUAC